GAUGAAGAACGUAGCGAAAUGCGAUAAGUAAUGUGAAUUGCAGAAUUCAGUGAAUCAUCGAAUCUUUGAACGCAAAUUGCGCCCCUUGGUAUUCCGAGGGGCAUGCCUGUUCGAGCGUCAUUAUAACCCCUCAAGCUCAGCUUGGUAUUGGGGCCUGCCAUCCUGGCAGCCAUUAAAAUCAGUGGCGGUGCCAUCCGGCUCUAAGCGUAGUAACUCCUCUCGCUAUGGAGUCCUGGUGGAUGCUUGCCAUUAAUCUUUUAACUUCUAUGGUUGACCUCGGAUCAGGUAGGGAUACCCGCUGAACUUAAGCAUAUCAAUAAGCGGAGGA
This 328-nucleotide unclassified non-coding RNA is filed under the name soil metagenome. RNAcentral's name for it is "partial contains 5.8S ribosomal RNA, internal transcribed spacer 2, and large subunit ribosomal RNA". The stretch from base 1 to 120 matches the Rfam family "5.8S ribosomal RNA", at positions 35 to 154 of the family's 154-position model. The record is from RNAcentral.